This 802-nucleotide ribosomal RNA is filed under the name uncultured bacterium. RNAcentral describes it as "bacterial SSU rRNA". It matches the Rfam family "Bacterial small subunit ribosomal RNA", at positions 95 to 899 of the family's 1533-position model. The record is from RNAcentral.
GUGGCGCACGGGUGCGUAACGCGUAUGCAACCUACCUUAAUCAGGGGGAUAGCCUCUCGAAAGAGAGAUUAACACCGCAUAAAAUCACACUUCGGCAUCGAAGAAUGAUCAAAUAUUUAUAGGAUUAAGAUGGGCAUGCGUGACAUUAGUUUGUUGGUGAGGUAACGGCUCACCAAGACUACGAUGUCUAGGGGAUCUGAGAGGAUGACCCCCCACACUGGUACUGAGACACGGACCAGACUCCUACGGGAGGCAGCAGUAAGGAAUAUUGGUCAAUGGGGGCAACCCUGAACCAGCCAUGCCGCGUGCAGGAAGACGGCCCUACGGGUUGUAAACUGCUUUUAUACGGGAAUAAACCUCUCUACGUGUAAGAGUUGAAUGUACUGUAAGAAUAAGGAUCGGCUAACUCCGUGCCAGCAGCCGCGGUAAUACGGAGGAUCCAAGCGUUAUCCGGAUUUAUUGGGUUUAAAGGGUGCGUAGGCGGCCUAUUAAGUCAGUGGUGAAAUCUUUCGGCUCAACCGGAAGCUUGCCCUUGAUACUGAUGGGCUUGAUUACACUUGAGGUAGGCGGAAUGUGACAAGUAGCGGUGAAAUGCAUAGAUAUGUCACAGAACACCAAUUGCGAAGGCAGCUUACUAAGGUGUUAAUGACGCUGAGGCACGAAAGCGUGGGGAUCAAACAGGAUUAGAUACCCUGGUAGUCCACGCCCUAAACGAUGAAUACUCGAUGUUAGCGAUAUACAGUUAGCGUCAAAGCGAAAGCGUUAAGUAUUCCACCUGGGGAGUACGCCCGCAAGGGUGAAA